Molecule: ribosomal RNA, 468 nt
Filed under: uncultured bacterium
Lineage: Bacteria
Description: partial 16S ribosomal RNA
Rfam family: Bacterial small subunit ribosomal RNA
Source: RNAcentral
GACGAACGCUGGCGGCGUGCUUAACACAUGCAAGUCGAACGGAAAGGCCCUGCUUUUGUGGGGUGCUCGAGUGGCGAACGGGUGAGUAACACGUGAGUAACCUGCCCUUGACUUUGGGAUAACUUCAGGAAACUGGGGCUAAUACCGGAUAGGAGCUCCUGCUGCAUGGUGGGGGUUGGAAAGUUUCGGCGGUUGGGGAUGGACUCGCGGCUUAUCAGCUUGUUGGUGGGGUAGUGGCUUACCAAGGCUUUGACGGGUAGCCGGCCUGAGAGGGUGACCGGCCACAUUGGGACUGAGAUACGGACCAGACUCCUACGGGAGGCAGCAGUGGGGAAUAUUGCACAAUGGGCGGAAGCCUGAUGCAGCAACGCCGCGUGCGGGAUGACGGCAUUCGGGUUGUAAACCGCUUUCGCCUGUGAUGAAGCGUGAGUGACGGUAAUGGGUAAAGAAGCACCGGCUAACUACGUG